AGGGCGCACGGUGGAUGCCUUGGCACUAGGAGCCGAUGAAGGACGGGACUAACACCGAUAUGCUUUGGGGAGCUGUAAGUAAGCUAUGAUCCAGAGAUUUCCGAAUGGGGGAACCCAAUAUCUUUUAUAGGAUAUUACUUUUCAGUGAAUACAUAGCUGAUUAGAGGUAGACGCAGAGAACUGAAACAUCUUAGUACCUGCAGGAAGAGAAAGAAAAAUCGAUUCCCUGAGUAGCGGCGAGCGAAACGGGAAGAGCCCAAACCAACAAGCUUGCUUGUUGGGGUUGUAGGACUCCAAUAUGGUAGUCUGUUAGUAUAGUUGAAGGAUUUGGAAAAUUCCGCUAAAGAGGGUGAAAGCCCCGUAGACGAAAUGCUGACAACACCUAGGAGGAUCCUGAGUACGGCGGAACACGAGAAAUUCCGUCGGAAUCCGCGGGGACCAUCCCGCAAGGCUAAAUACUCCCUAGUGACCGAUAGUGAACCAGUACCGUGAGGGAAAGGUGAAAAGCACCCCGGAAGGGGAGUGAAAUAGAUCCUGAAACCGUGUGCCUACAACAAGUCAAAGCUCGUUAAUGAGUGAUGGCGUGCCUUUUGUAGAAUGAACCGGCGAGUUACGAUUGCAUGCGAGGUUAAGUCGAAGAGACGGAGCCGCAGCGAAAGCGAGUCUGAAUAGGGCGAAUGAGUAUGUAGUCGUAGACCCGAAACCAUGUGAUCUACCCAUGUCCAGGUUGAAGGUGCGGUAAAACGCACUGGAGGACCGAACCCACGUACGUUGAAAAGUGCGGGGAUGAGGUGUGGGUAGCGGAGAAAUUCCAAACGAACUUGGAGAUAGCUGGUUCUCUCCGAAAUAGCUUUAGGGCUAGCCUCGGAAUUGAGAAUGAUGGAGGUAGAGCACUGUUUGGACUAGGGGCCCAUCUCGGGUUACCGAAUUCAGAUAAACUCCGAAUGCCAUUCAUUUAUAUCCGGGAGUCAGACUGCGAGUGAUAAGAUCCGUAGUCGAAAGGGAAACAGCCCAGACCACCAGCUAAGGUCCCAAAAUAUAUGUUAAGUGGAAAAGGAUGUGGGGUUGCACAGACAACUAGGAUGUUGGCUUAGAAGCAGCCACCAUUUAAAGAGUGCGUAAUAGCUCACUAGUCGAGUGACCCUGCGCCGAAAAUGUACCGGGGCUAAACAUAUUACCGAAGCUGUGGACUACACCAUUAGGUGUAGUGGUAGGAGAGCGUUCUAAGGGCGUUGAAGGUCGAUCGUGAGGACGGCUGGAGCGCUUAGAAGUGAGAAUGCCGGUAUGAGUAGCGAAAGACAGGUGAGAAUCCUGUCCACCGUAUGACUAAGGUUUCCUGGGGAAGGCUCGUCCGCCCAGGGUUAGUCGGGACCUAAGCCGAGGCCGAUAGGCGUAGGCGAUGGACAACAGGUUGAUAUUCCUGUACCACCUUAACACGUUAUACGAUGCAGUGACACAGAAGGAUAGGCAAAGCGGGUUGAUGGUAGAACCCGUCCAAGCACUGAGGGUGCAGCGUAGUGAAGUACGCGCUGUGAUAAGCCUGGGGUGUGAUGGGGACAGAAAAUAAGUAUGGAAGUUGCUGAAUUCACGCUGGCGAGAAAAGCUGCUAAGGAGUGUUAUUGGUGCCUGUACCGCAAACCGACACAGGUAGGCGAGGAGAGAAUCCUAAGACGAGCGGGAGAACCCUUGUUAAGGAACUCGGCAAAAUGACCCCGUAACUUUGGGAGAAGGGGUGCCUCGAAAGAGGCCGCAGUGAAUAGGCCCAAGCGACUGUUUAGCAAAAACACAGGUCUGUGCCAAGUCGAGAGACGAUGUAUACAGGCUGACGCCUGCCCAGUGCCGGAAGGUCAAGGGGAAGUGUUAGGGCAACCGAAGCACGGAACUUAAGCCCCGGUGAACGGCGGCCGUAACUAUAACGGUCCUAAGGUAGCGAAAUUCCUUGUCGGGUAAGUUCCGACCCGCACGAAUGGCGUAACGAUUUGGGCACUGUCUCAACAAGGGACCCGGCGAAAUUGUAGUAUGCGUGAAGAUGCGCAUUGCCCGCGAUAGGACGGAAAGACCCCGUAGAGCUUUACUGUAGCUUGGUAUUGGAUUUUGGCAGCGCUUGUACAGGAUAGGUGGGAGGCUAGGAAACGAGGACGCCAGUUUUCGUGGAGCCAUCGUUGGGAUACCACUCUUGUGUUGCUGGAGUUCUAACGUCGCGCGGUUAUCCCGGCGACGGACAGUGCCAGGUGGGCAGUUUGACUGGGGCGGUCGCCUCCUAAAAGGUAACGGAGGCGCCCAAAGGUUCCCUCAGAAUGGUCGGAAAUCAUUCGCAGAGUGCAAAAGCAGAAGGGAGCUUGACUGUGAGAGAGACAUCUCGAGCAGGUACGAAAGUAGGGUUUAGUGAUCCGGCGGCAUUAAGUGGGUUAGCCGUCGCUCAACGGAUAAAAGCUACCUCGGGGAUAACAGGCUUAUCUCCCCCAAGAGUCCACAUCGACGGGGAGGUUUGGCACCUCGAUGUCGGCUCGUCGCAUCCUGGGGCUGUAGUCGGUCCCAAGGGUUGGGCUGUUCGCCCAUUAAAGC
RNAcentral lists this ribosomal RNA (2565 nucleotides) under human gut metagenome. RNAcentral describes it as "bacterial LSU rRNA". It matches the Rfam family "Bacterial large subunit ribosomal RNA", at positions 14 to 2594 of the family's 2925-position model. The record is from RNAcentral.